UACGAAUGGGGCGAGCGUUGUUCGGAAUCACUGGGCGUAAAGCGUACGUAGGCGGACUAGAAAGUCAGAAGUGAAAUCCCGGGGCUUAACCUCGGAAUUGCUUUUGAAACUUCUAGUCUAGAGGCCCGGAGAGGUCAGCGGAAUUCCGAGUGUAGAGGUGAAAUUCGCAGAUAUUCGGAGGAACACCAGUUGCGUAGGCGGCUGGCUGGACGGGCACUGACGCUGAGGUACGAAAGCGUGGGGAUCAAACAGG
Molecule: ribosomal RNA, 253 nt
Filed under: uncultured bacterium
Lineage: Bacteria
Description: partial 16S ribosomal RNA
Rfam family: Bacterial small subunit ribosomal RNA
Source: RNAcentral